This is a long non-coding RNA of Crotalus tigris (Tiger rattlesnake), 630 nucleotides long. RefSeq lists it as uncharacterized. Lineage: Eukaryota; Metazoa; Chordata; Lepidosauria; Squamata; Viperidae. The record is from RefSeq and is a predicted model, not a curated record. The transcript is spliced from 4 exons.
GAUGGCCUAACAAUGGGAAGCUGACUAAGGACCUAUUGGGGGUGGGGAUGAGGAUCUUUUUAAAAAGAAGCUUCUGGGAAGUCAAUAGGAAAAUAGGCUGGUUUCCUUUGCCACACCAUUCCUGAAUUCUGAUUAUAAUUCAGAUGACAUUCAGAAGAGAAUUCACACUCCUAUGAGCAAAUUUGAAAAACGAGAAUGAAAUUCUCACAUGUCUGAUCUACUGGAUGCUGGUUACUACUGAUAAACCCUUGGAGGAAGACAAAUGGAGGAGCAGAAGUGGGGAAAUGACAGCACCAGGCAAGCAAAAAAAAAACAAUCCAUGAUUUGCCUCUUGUUGUUCUCAUCAUUACUGACCGCUCGAAGAAAAGAAACAAACAUUUCAUCCACCCUCCAGAUUACUACUUAUUCCAGUGGUAAAAAUAGAUUCUUGAAGUCUACAAUAAAUUCAGAGAAAUACAAGAAGGAGGAGAAAGAAGAGGAGGAAUGACUAGAUGACCCUUGGUAUACCUGAGACUGAUUCCCAAGCUAAAGGCUGCAAAUCUUCCUCACAAGCUAGGAUCCUUUUGAAGGCCUUCAGAUGUGUAGUGAUAUUUCUGAACACCAAAAGCAUCCAAACUUUACUUUGCUCAU